ACUCCUACGGGAGGCAGCAGUGGGGAAUAUUGCACAAUGGGGGAAACCCUGAUGCAGCCAUGCCGCGUGUGUGAAGAAGGCCUUCGGGUUGUAAAGCACUUUCAGUAGGGAGGAAGGUAGUGUAGUUAACACCUGCAUUAUUUGACGUUACCUACAGAAGAAGCACCGGCUAACUCCGUGCCAGCAGCCGCGGUAAUACGGAGGGUGCGAGCGUUAAUCGGAAUUACUGGGCGUAAAGCGCAUGCAGGCGGCCUGUUAAGUCAGAUGUGAAAGCCCGGGGCUUAACCUCGGAAUUGCAUUUGAAACUGGCAGGCUAGAGUCUUGUAGAGGGGGGUAGAAUUUCAGGUGUAGCGGUGAAAUGCGUAGAGAUCUGAAGG
Molecule: ribosomal RNA, 377 nt
Filed under: uncultured bacterium
Lineage: Bacteria
Description: bacterial SSU rRNA
Rfam family: Bacterial small subunit ribosomal RNA
Source: RNAcentral